This 233-nucleotide unclassified non-coding RNA is filed under the name plant metagenome. Its description in RNAcentral is "partial contains small subunit ribosomal RNA, internal transcribed spacer 1, and 5.8S ribosomal RNA". The record is from RNAcentral.
UUUCCGUAGGUGAACCUGCGGAAGGAUCAUCAUUGGAUUUUGAAACUUCAGGCUGCUGCUGGCUCUCCUCGGAGGGCAUGUGCACGCUUGUUGUCCAUUAUUUCUCCCACUGUGCACAAAUUGUAGACCUUUCAGUAGGCCUAUGUUGUUUUUCACAAUCUCUGAAUGUAAUGGAAUGGUUUUGAAUCUUGGGAAAUACAAUACAACUUUCAGCAACGGAUCUCUUGGCUCUC